This 454-nucleotide ribosomal RNA is filed under the name uncultured Novosphingobium sp. RNAcentral describes it as "partial 16S ribosomal RNA". Lineage: Bacteria; Pseudomonadati; Pseudomonadota; Alphaproteobacteria; Sphingomonadales; Sphingomonadaceae. The record is from RNAcentral.
CACGGAGUUAGCCGGGGCUUAUUCUCCCGGUACUGUCAUUAUCAUCCCGGGUAAAAGAGCUUUACAACCCUAAGGCCUUCAUCACUCACGCGGCAUUGCUGGAUCAGGCUUUCGCCCAUUGUCCAAUAUUCCCCACUGCUGCCUCCCGUAGGAGUCUGGGCCGUGUCUCAGUCCCAGUAUGGCUGAUCAUCCUCUAAGACCAGCUAAGGAUCGUCGGCUUGGUAGGCCUUUACCCCACCAACUACCUAAUCCUACGCGGGCCCAUCUAAUGGCGAUAAAUCUUUGGUCCGAAGACAUCAUCCGGUAUUAGCAGUAAUUCCUCACUGUUAUUCCGAACCAAAAGGCAGGUUCCCACGCGUUACGCACCCGUGCGCCACUAACCCCGAAGGGUUCGUUCGACUUGCAUGUGUUAGGCAUGCCGCCAGCGUUUUGUUCUGAGCCAGGAUCAAAUUCU